RNAcentral lists this ribosomal RNA (506 nucleotides) under uncultured bacterium. Its description in RNAcentral is "partial 16S ribosomal RNA". It matches the Rfam family "Bacterial small subunit ribosomal RNA", at positions 29 to 523 of the family's 1533-position model. The record is from RNAcentral.
AGUGAACGCUGGCGGUAGGCCUAACACAUGCAAGUCGAACGGCAGCACAGGAGAGCUUGCUCUCUGGGUGGCGAGUGGCGGACGGGUGAGGAAUACAUCGGAAUCUACUCUGUCGUGGGGGAUAACGUAGGGAAACUUACGCUAAUACCGCAUACGACCUACGGGUGAAAGCAGGGGACCUUCGGGCCUUGCGCGAUUGAAUGAGCCGAUGUCGGAUUAGCUAGUUGGCGGGGUAAAGGCCCACCAAGGCGACGAUCCGUAGCUGGUCUGAGAGGAUGAUAAGCCACACUGGAACUGAGACACGGUCCAGACUCCUACGGGAGGCAGCAGUGGGGAAUAUUGGACAAUGGGCGCAAGCCUGAUCCAGCCAUACCGCGUGGGUGAAGAAGGCCUUCAGGUUGUAAAGCCCUUUUGUUGGGAAAGAAAUCCAGCUGGCUAAUACCCGGUUGGGAUGACGGUACCCAAAGAAUAAGCACCGGCUAACUUCGUGCCAGCAGCCGCGGUAA